This is a long non-coding RNA of Alligator mississippiensis (American alligator), 918 nucleotides long. RefSeq lists it as uncharacterized. The transcript has 3 exons. Lineage: Eukaryota; Metazoa; Chordata; Crocodylia; Alligatoridae. The record is from RefSeq and is a predicted model, not a curated record.
AACCAGUUCAGUGACUGGCCAAAUCCUGUAGUGCCGACCCCCUUUGAAUUGAUUGGUCUGCAUUAGCAGUGUUUCAGUGAGGCUGCUUCUUGACUGGGGCCCUGCAAUUAGGUUUCAAGUCCAGUAUCCGUGUGGGGUUUGGUCUGGGAGUACAGGGCAGGAGCCGGUGGCUCACCCCCAUGGUCACUCAGGCAGGAGCAGAGAUCGGGGCUCCACAGCAGCUUGGUGGAGGUAUAUCCAUGGGAAUCCAGGCCAGGAGCAGUGACUGGCACUCCCCAGCAGCUCGGCAGAGCUGCAUCAACUCUGCAAAGGGCCCUUCGCAAUGCAGAUGGAACCGGUGACCCCAGCAGACAGUGACAUCGAGGGAGACGAUGCACUCAAAUUCCAGGGGACAAACCUCUUUUGGGUCAAGACUCCUCCGCUCCUGGACUGCCAAACCUGGGGUUGAAGGCUCCCCACUAGGGGAGCUGGAGUUUUCUUGAGACUCAGCCAGGCCGAGGUUAAUCACUGCAGAAAGAGAUGAGCAGCUCUGUGUAUCAUCCCCCCACACCCAUACUCCAGCAGGGCUUCUCUGACUUGGAUUUCCUCUCUCGAGCAUGGCUGAUUGCUUUUGGCUGCAUUUCAUCUAGCAGCACUCCAGUUCCUCGAGGACAGGAGAAGGACAUCUUUAGCAGGAUAUUCAUACAUAUAAGGCCAGAGAUGACCACUGGAUCACCUAGUCUGACUUCUGGACCACCCUGGAUUAAUUCCUGUUUGAACGAGAACAUAUUUCUUUUAGGAAAACAUACACAUUUUAAGUUUUAAAAGUCCAGUCCUGGAGAAUCUACCACAAUUUUGGAUAAAUUGUUCUAAAGAUUAAUUAUGCACAAAAAACAAGUUUCAUAUCUUUGUUUCUAAACUGUAUAAUUUUUUUAUCCU